RNAcentral lists this ribosomal RNA (328 nucleotides) under Filosa sp. Its description in RNAcentral is "SSU rRNA". The stretch from base 110 to 328 matches the Rfam family "Eukaryotic small subunit ribosomal RNA", at positions 737 to 955 of the family's 1831-position model. Lineage: Eukaryota; Cercozoa. The record is from RNAcentral.
GAUUUCUGGUUUGGAGCGCUUGGCCCGCCUCGGUUACGAGUGUGAGUGUUGAUGCGUUCCUACCAUCUUUCCACAGAACGGCUUCGGGCCCUUCGCUGGGUUCUGGGGACGCGAUGUGGAUCUAUUACUUUGAAAAAAUUAGAGUGUUUAAAGCAGGCGAUUGGCUUCUGAAUACAUUAGCAUGGAAUAAUAAUUUAGGACUUCGGUUCUAUUUUGUUGGUUUCUAGGACUGAAGUAAUGAUUGAUAGGGAUAGUUGGGGGUGCUAGUAUUCCGUGGCCAGAGGUGAAAUUCUUGGAUUCACGGAAGACUAACUUAUGCGAAAGCAUU